RNAcentral lists this ribosomal RNA (395 nucleotides) under uncultured bacterium. RNAcentral describes it as "bacterial SSU rRNA". It matches the Rfam family "Bacterial small subunit ribosomal RNA", at positions 505 to 898 of the family's 1533-position model. The record is from RNAcentral.
GUGUCAGCAGCCGCGGUAAUACGUAGGUGGGUUUGCUCGAGAGGAUUUACUGGGCGUAAAGAGCGCGCAGGCGGUCGUUCAAGUCGAGUGUGAAAGCCCCCGGCUCAACUGGGGAGGGUCACUCGAUACUGAUCGACUUGAAGGCAGGAGAGGGAAGCGGAAUUCCCGGUGUAGUGGUGAAAUGCGUAGAUAUCGGGAGGAACACCAGUGGCGAAGGCGGCUUCCUGGCCUGUUCUUGACGCUGAGGCGCGAAAGCUAGGGGAGCAAACGGGAUUAGAUACCCCGGUAGUCCUAGCCGUAAACGAUGGACACUAGGUGUUGGUGGUAUCAACCCCACCAGUGCCGAAGCUAACGCAUUAAGUGUCCCGCCUGGGGAGUACGGCCGCAAGGCUAAA